Molecule: unclassified non-coding RNA, 338 nt
Filed under: soil metagenome
Description: partial contains 5.8S ribosomal RNA, internal transcribed spacer 2, and large subunit ribosomal RNA
Rfam family: 5.8S ribosomal RNA (bases 1-120)
Source: RNAcentral
GAUGAAGAACGUAGCGAAAUGCGAUACGUAGUGUGAAUUGCAGAAUUCAGUGAAUCAUCGAAUCUUUGAACGCACAUUGCGCCCUUUGGUAUUCCAAAGGGCAUGCCUGUUCGAGCGUCAUUUGUACCCCCAAGCUUUGCUUGGUGUUGGGCGUCUUGUCUCCAGUCCGCUGGAGACUCGCCUUAAAGUCAUUGGCAGCCGGCCUACUGGUUUCGGAGCGCAGCACAAGUCGCACUCUUUUCCAGCCAAGGUCAGUGUCCAACAAGCCUUUUUUCAACUUUUGACCUCGGAUCAGGUAGGGAUACCCGCUGAACUUAAGCAUAUCAAUAAGCGGAGGA